UACGUAGGGCGCAAGCGUUGUCCGGAAUUAUUGGGCGUAAAGAGCUCGUAGGCGGUUUGUCGCGUCUGCUGUGAAAACCUAAGGCUCAACCUUGGGCUUGCAGUGGGUACGGGCAGACUAGAGUGCGGUAGGGGAGAUUGGAAUUCCUGGUGUAGCGGUGGAAUGCGCAGAUAUCAGGAGGAACACCGAUGGCGAAGGCGGGUCUCUGGGCCGUAACUGACGCUGAGGAGCGAAAGCAUGGGGAGCGAACAGG
RNAcentral lists this ribosomal RNA (253 nucleotides) under uncultured bacterium. RNAcentral describes it as "partial 16S ribosomal RNA". It matches the Rfam family "Bacterial small subunit ribosomal RNA", at positions 524 to 776 of the family's 1533-position model. The record is from RNAcentral.